AUGAUUCAGCAAGGGCCUUUGAGACUGUUGUUUUCUUUUCUAGGCCCAAAAGACUCCUUCAGGCCCAAGUGUGAUUCUGACGAUGACAGUGUCACCAGUUGGAGGGGCCUCUGGCUGCCUGGACCCCUGAAUGACCGUGUGGCACAGGCCCCCUGCACAGGCUGCCAGGCUGAGCCAGUGAAAAUCCAACAAGGAAAUGACAACUGGGUGGCUGAUACUCCAUGCGCAACAACGAUGGAGUGAUGCCGGGAGCCUCCACGGGAGAUCCCACCCAUGACAAAGGUCAUGCGGAAGAGACCUGACAGGCAAAGGCGGAUCGGGCCUCAAGGGACCCCCUGAACCUGCUGGAGCAUCCACCCCAAAACCAGAAUCUGUCUGUCUUACUAUUUUGUGCCUUUCACCAACUCUUCUAACAUUAACAGGAGGUUAUCCCCGAUCACCUUUCUCUGCAAAAGUCAAUUUAGGGCUUUAGUUAAGAAGUCUCUUGGACACAAAAGGAAUAUUUCUAUUUUAACCCCUCUGUUGGCAUUCUAGCUUGCCUGACAGGUUUAUCCAUACUCUUGCAAUUAACACACAUGAUUGUUCACAACUCCCCAACCUUGAAAGGCACGGGAAGCCAAAACAUUCUAAAAGUCCUAAUGAGCAUAGAGUCCUUUAAGGGGUGAACAAUUAUUAGAAUAGAUAGUACUGGUAAAGGGCUUCAUUAUCGGGCCAGUGCUUGCUGCCGAGUGCCCAUAUCCCUUAUCCACUGUGCACCUGGGAGUGAUUGGUUAACGUGGUUGGAAUGUAAGAAAACAGCCUGCCUCCCAGACGUCUCAGCUUUUCGCAGGAUAGCCCUCACAGGGACAAGGAGGCAGGAGGCUGGGCUGCUCCGAGGGCUGGCCAUUCUGUCAAGGCCCCUGCCUAGUCCCUAGUCUGGCUUCUGAGACAGGAUGACCUCCCGCUCCCGACAAGUGCCUUCCCCACCCACCUCCCCUCCCCCUAGCAGAGUGCAAGCCAGAGACGUGCAGGAGGGAUGACUAUUUCAGGCCCAAGACCACUUCAUUGGUUGCGGGUCCACAUGUUCCUCUGUGUGUGUGUGAGUGGCUCAGUCAUGUCCAACUCUUAGUGACCCCAUGGACUGUCGCCUGCCAGGCUUCUCUGCCCACAGACUUCUCCAGGCAAGAAUACUGGAGUGGGUUGCCAUUCCCUCUUCCAGGGGUUCUUCCCGACCCAGGGAGGGAAACUGAGUCUCCUACAUUGCAGGCAGAGUCUUUACCAUCUGAGCCACCAGGGAAUCCCAUCUGCUCCUUUAGUAGCAAACAAUCCCCACAUUCUUUUAGUCUCUGAAUGCUUUUUUGAACCCUUUAUCAGCUGAGCCAGUGAAAAUCCAACAAGGAAAUGACAACUGGGUGGCUGAUACUCCAUGCGCAACAACGAUGGAGUGAUG
RNAcentral lists this long non-coding RNA (1429 nucleotides) under Bos grunniens (domestic yak). Its description in RNAcentral is "lncRNA (ENSBGRG00000006147.1)". The record is from RNAcentral. Lineage: Eukaryota; Metazoa; Chordata; Mammalia; Artiodactyla; Bovidae.